RNAcentral lists this small RNA (194 nucleotides) under Pan troglodytes (chimpanzee). Its description in RNAcentral is "processed transcript". The record is from RNAcentral. Lineage: Eukaryota; Metazoa; Chordata; Mammalia; Primates; Hominidae.
AGUUUCUGUUCAGCCAAGAGUGGUGGCACACUUGGGUGGUAGUUUUGGAAGCAGUCAGUUGUGCUAGGACUUAUUUAAUAUGUUGUGAAGAGAAGAGUGUCUUCUUGAAAGCCUUAUGUGUCCAUCAGCUACUAAAUGUAGAACUUAAAUAAGUUGCUCACAUCUGUUCUUUUAGGUUUUUUGUGGUAUUUGAG